ACUCCUACGGGAGGCAGCAGUGGGGAAUAUUGCACAAUGGGGGAAACCCUGAUGCAGCGACGCCGCGUGAAGGAUGAAGUAUUUCGGUAUGUAAACUUCUAUCAGCAGGGAAAAAAAUGACGGUACCUGACUAAGAAGCCCCGGCUAACUACGUGCCAGCAGCCGCGGUAAU
This 172-nucleotide ribosomal RNA is filed under the name uncultured bacterium. RNAcentral describes it as "partial 16S ribosomal RNA". It matches the Rfam family "Bacterial small subunit ribosomal RNA", at positions 335 to 524 of the family's 1533-position model. The record is from RNAcentral.